RNAcentral lists this ribosomal RNA (512 nucleotides) under uncultured marine eukaryote. RNAcentral's name for it is "bacterial SSU rRNA". It matches the Rfam family "Eukaryotic small subunit ribosomal RNA", at positions 619 to 1129 of the family's 1831-position model. The record is from RNAcentral.
UUAAAAAGCUCGUAGUUGGAUUUCUGUGGGGACGGAGCGGCCGACCGCAACUCGCGGUUCGAGCUAGCGCUUUCCCUACAUCCUGCCGCGAACCGUGCUACCAUUAGUUUGGUGGCGCCGGGGAUCGGCUCGUUUACUUUGAGAAAAAUAGAGUGUUCAAAGCAGGCCACACGCCUUGAAUAAGUUAGCAUGGAAUAAUAACUAAGGACUUCGGUUCUAUUUUGUUGGUGUUCGGGACUGAAGUAAUGAUUGAUAGGGACAGUUGGGGCGGUCCGUAUUCCAAAGCGAGAGGUGAAAUUCUUAGACCUUCGGAAGACGAACAGCUGCGAAAGCGUUCCGCAAGGAUGUUCCCUUUGAUCAAGAACGAAAGAUGGGGGAUCGAAGACGAUCAGAUACCGUCGUAGUCUCAACUAUAAACUAUACCAGCUAGGGAUCGGCCAACGUUAUUCUAUACCGACUUGGUCGGCACCUUAUGAGAAAUCAAAGCAUCUGGGUUCCGGGGGGAGUAUGGU